UGCGUGAGUUCCUUCUGCCAAGCAGAGCAGCACAGCUGCAAGACACCCUGCUUCUGGCUCUGAGCUUUGCUUGUCUUCAGGGAUGGAGCCCCUCCCAAGGCAAGUUCAACUGGGUUCUUUGGCAGCCGAAGUCUACACGGACCCUGCAGGGAGCGGUGGAGAAAAAUAUAUUGAUCAUGAGGAGAGGGCUCACCCCUCACCCGGAGAAGUAGUUGGGGAAGCAAUAUGCGGAAACAAAGCCAUGAAUCUGACAAGAAAUGUACUUAAGAUUGUAUAUAUGGAGAUGAAUACCCAUUGUCCUUUGCACUUUCUGGAUGAUAAAUUAGAAAAGAAAAAUCCAAAGAAUGAAGUUGUGCUAUUUGUCCUCACUUCUGAUUUGGGAAACUAGAGGAAAUUAAGAUGGGAAAAGACCAUGUGAGGACACAGUGAGAAGGAGACCAUAUGCAAAGCAGGAAGGAAGAUCUCACUGGAACCAAAAACCAGCCCUGCUGGCACCCUGAUCUUGGACUUCUAGCCUUUCUCAGAACUGUGAGAAAAUAAAUUUCUGAUGUUUCAGCCACUC
This 562-nucleotide long non-coding RNA is filed under the name Homo sapiens (human). Its description in RNAcentral is "HSALNT0391297". Lineage: Eukaryota; Metazoa; Chordata; Mammalia; Primates; Hominidae. The record is from RNAcentral.